GAGUUUGAUCUUGGCUCAGAACGAACGCUGGCGGCAUGCCUAACACAUGCAAGUCGAACGAGAUCUUCGGAUCUAGUGGCGCACGGGUGCGUAACGCGUGGGAAUCUGCCCUUGGGUGCGGAAUAACUUCUCGAAAGGGAUGCUAAAUACCGCAUAAUGUCGUAAGACCAAAGAUUUAUCGCCCAAGGAUGAGCCCGCGUAAGAUUAGCUAGUUGGUGGGGUAAAAGCCUACCAAGGCGACGAUCUUUAGCUGGUCUGAGAGGAUGAUCAGCCACACUGGGACUGAGACACGGCCCAGACUCCUACGGGAGGCAGCAGUGGGGAAUAUUGGACAAUGGGCGAAAGCCUGAUCCAGCAAUGCCGCGUGAGUGAUGAAGGCCCUAGGGUUGUAAAGCUCUUUUACCCGGGAUGAUAAUGACAGUACCGGGAGAAUAAGCUCCGGCUAACUCCGUGCCAGCCGCCGCCGUAAGACCUGAGCAAGGCACAC
RNAcentral lists this ribosomal RNA (487 nucleotides) under uncultured microorganism. RNAcentral's name for it is "bacterial SSU rRNA". It matches the Rfam family "Bacterial small subunit ribosomal RNA", at positions 9 to 539 of the family's 1533-position model. The record is from RNAcentral.